CUUGUGCUAAUACCGGAUAAGCCCUUACGGGGAAAGAUUUAUCGCCGAAAGAUCGGCCCGCGUCUGAUUAGCUAGUUGGUAGGGUAAUGGCCUACCAAGGCGACGAUCAGUAGCUGGUCUGAGAGGAUGAUCAGCCACAUUGGGACUGAGACACGGCCCAAACUCCUACGGGAGGCAGCAGUGGGGAAUAUUGGACAAUGGGGGCAACCCUGAUCCAGCCAUGCCGCGUGAGUGAUGAAGGCCCUAGGGUUGUAAAGCUCUUUUGUGCGGGAAGAUAAUGACGGUACCGCAAGAAUAAGCCCCGGCUAACUUCGUGCCAGCAGCCGCGGUAAUACGAAGGGGGCUAGCGUUGCUCGGAAUCACUGGGCGUAAAGGGUGCGUAGGCGGGUUUUUAAGUCAGGGGUGAAAUCCUGGAGCUCAACUCCAGAACUGCCUUUGAUACUGAAG
This 447-nucleotide ribosomal RNA is filed under the name uncultured Bradyrhizobiaceae bacterium. Its description in RNAcentral is "bacterial SSU rRNA". It matches the Rfam family "Bacterial small subunit ribosomal RNA", at positions 157 to 638 of the family's 1533-position model. The record is from RNAcentral. Lineage: Bacteria; Pseudomonadati; Pseudomonadota; Alphaproteobacteria; Hyphomicrobiales; Nitrobacteraceae.